UACAGAGGGGGCAAGCGUUGUUCGGAAUUACUGGGCGUAAAGGGCGCGUAGGCGGCCUGUUAAGUCGAACGUGAAAUCCCCGGGCUCAACCCGGGAACUGCGUCCGAUACUGGCAGGCUUGAAUUCGGGAGAGGGAUGUGGAAUUCCAGGUGUAGCGGUGAAAUGCGUAGAUAUCUGGAGGAACACCGGUGGCGAAGGCGGCAUCCUGGACUGAUAUUGACGCUGAGGCGCGAAAGCCAGGGGAGCAAACGGG
This 253-nucleotide ribosomal RNA is filed under the name uncultured bacterium. Its description in RNAcentral is "partial 16S ribosomal RNA". It matches the Rfam family "Bacterial small subunit ribosomal RNA", at positions 524 to 776 of the family's 1533-position model. The record is from RNAcentral.